Molecule: ribosomal RNA, 371 nt
Filed under: uncultured organism
Description: partial 16S ribosomal RNA
Rfam family: Bacterial small subunit ribosomal RNA
Source: RNAcentral
GUAGGUGGCAAGCGUUGUCCGGAAUUAUUGGGCGUAAAGCGCGCGCAGGCGGUUCUUUAAGUCUGAUGUGAAAGCCCACGGCUCAACCGUGGAGGGUCAUUGGAAACUGGAGAACUUGAGUACAGAAGAGGAAAGCGGAAUUCCACGUGUAGCGGUGAAAUGCGUAGAGAUGUGGAGGAACACCAGUGGCGAAGGCGGCUUUCUGGUCUGUAACUGACGCUGAGGCGCGAAAGCGUGGGGGAGCAAACAGGAUUAGAUACCCUGGUAGUCCACGCCGUAAACGAUGAGUGCUAAGUGUUAGGGGGUUUCCGCCCCUUAGUGCUGCAGCUAACGCAUUAAGCACUCCGCCCUGGGAGUACGGCCGCAGGCUG